This 2695-nucleotide long non-coding RNA is filed under the name Equus caballus (horse). RNAcentral's name for it is "lncRNA (ENSECAG00000049330.1)". Lineage: Eukaryota; Metazoa; Chordata; Mammalia; Perissodactyla; Equidae. The record is from RNAcentral.
UUCCAGCUACACAUGGCACGUUGAAUAUACAUAAAACAAACACAGUGAUAAAAAUGUUUCUGAACUACAUUUUGAAAACUUGUGGAGAAAAAAGCGCGGGAAGCCCAAGAGAGGGUCAGAGAAUGAGAGAGAUAUUAGACAAAUUACUAAGAAAGAAUAGAAAGGCAGACAGAUGCAGAAGACAUCAAAGAGCAAGAAGAGGUCCAACUUCAGACCUAUACGGACUUACUUCAUCUUUUCCUCUCCAGAUGCAAUUCUACCUGCAGAAGUAGUGACUUUAACUCAUAUGGCAACUGAUAUAAAUGUUGACAACGUGAAGGGUAAGGGACUUGGAUGUGAAUUUCCAUCUUACUCAUGAGCAAAACAAAAUGUGGCAGCAUCAUGACAUUAACAGUCAAUCAGACAUAGGACAAGUGCAGUUUGAUUAAAUGUAGGAAAAAAGAGAAAGCCCAACUCUAUUGUUCCUGAAACCAUUAGUGAAACAGAAUCUAAUGGAGAGGAAAGACCUCACAGAUUAUUUAUUCCCUGCCCUUUCCUGGCAUACAAACAUAGGAAACUUGGCUCAUUCCUAGUAAAAUAUAGAGAAAGUCUAGGUAUUUCUCAAAUUAAACUGACCCUUAUAUAAGAAUUCUGUUUCUGCAGGUGGGACACAGACGCUUAGAGCUUCUCUAUAAGGAUAUUAUCAAUGAUCCUCAGUUUGGACACAUUAGCAGAAUAUGACUCUGUAGGAGAAAAUUUUUCUGUAGCCUGUAAGCACUGCCCUCUUGUGAAAAGAUUGCAUUCCUGAGGAAAACCACUUGUCCUAUAUUCCUAGUAACACCUAUGGCAGGAAGGAAGUCAUUGCUGCCUGGGGAAACGGAGGGGGCUCGUUCACUGGCACUGCUGUGUUGCCUGCAGUCUCAGGGCAUGGGCGCCCCCCACCAUCGUGGGGGUGGGGUAGGGCUAAACCGAAUGUCAUUGUUCUUCCUGCAGUCUCUGGUCACUGGCCCGCGCUGGUGAGCAUUUUGAAAUCUCAGGUCAGAGCACCACCACCCUUGCUGUGGAUAUCUGUGCUGUGGAUGCUGUACCCACGGCUGGAAACACCAGAGCCACUGUCAGAGAGAGAGAGAGGGAGCUGGGUCGCUGGCACUGCUGUGUGUCCUGAAGCCUCAGGUCGUGUGCACGACCCACCACUGCUGGGACAAAGAGGGGCUAUGCAACAAGCACCAUGCCUGCUCCUGUAGCCUCAGGCUGCUGAUGCAUGCAGCUGUGCUCCUCAGGUUAGGACACCAGAACCACCGCUGGCAGCAUACACAUUUUGUAUUGCCACUGCCUUCGGAGGGGAGGGGGCUGCUUCCCUAGUUCCAUUGCUCUAGCCCACCAACCUUUUGACGUAUAGAUGCACGGAAGUCUCAGGCAUUCUGGUGUUCUUUGCAGCGAGUCCUUUUUUGGUCAAUUGAUGUCCCACUAGGUGUAACAUAAAGUGGACAGACAAAGAGAACAACUGACUUUACCAUGAUGCAGCUGUCACGUUUCUUUUUUUAAAAUUAAUUAUUUAUUUAUUUUCUGAUGUACAUCAUAAUAUAUUUCGAAUUCUGUGUAGAUUACAUCGUGUUCACCACCAGAAAAUGAAUUAUAGUCCGUCACCUCACAUGGGAGCCUCAUCACCCCUAUGCCUCCCCCCUGCCCCCCUCCUCCUAUGAUAACCACCAAUCCAAUCUCCAAUGCUAUGUGUUUGUUUGUCAUUGUUUUUAUCCUUUACUUAUGAGGGAGAUAAUAUGGAAUUUGAGUUUCUCGCCCUGACUUAUUUAACUCAGCAUAAUACCCUUAAGACCCAUCCGUGUUGUCACAAAUGGCCAGAUUUCAUCUUUUCUUAUGGCUGAGUAGUAGUCCAUCGUGUAUAAAUACCACAUCUUCUUUAUCCAUUCGUCCCCUGAUGGGCACCUAGGUUGCUUCCAAGUCUUGGCUAUUGUGUAUAACGCUGCAACGAACAUGGGGUGCCAGUAUCUUUGUGCCUUUGUGUUUUCAAGUUCCUUGGAUAAAUACCCAGCAGUGGGAUAGCUGGAUCAUAUGGUAGAUCUAUCCUUAAUUUUCUGAGGGAACUCCAUACUGCUUUCCAUAGUGGCUGCACCAGUCUGCACUCCCACCAGCAGUGAACAAGCGCUCCCUUCUCUCCACAUCCUCUUCAAUAUUUGUUGUUUCCUGUCUUGUUAAUUAUAGCCAUUCUGACCAGGGUGAGGUGAUCCCUCUUUGUAGUUUUGAUUUGCAUUUCCCUGAUAGCUAAUGAUGUUAUUUUACUUCUGUAUCUGAAAUCUUUUCACAUGUUAUAUUAAUGUAGUGUAUAAAAUUGGAGUAUGACCAACAGCGAGAGUGAGGAAUGCUAGCAGUAACUUCCUGCUUCCAUUCCUUGACUUCUCUUCUAUGAUAUGGCACAUGGGGAAACCUCAAAAGUGUCUUGUGGGUAAUAGAGGCUAGAUCUUUCUCACUGUCUUCUCACAAGGGUUGGAUACAAAAAGAGUACAGAGAACUUGGUUCCAAGAUGGAAAAAAGCCAGGGACUCUAGGGAAUAUUUCUCUCCACGGUUAAUUGACCCUUAGAGAAGAUGUCCCCAUGUUGUCUUCAGAGCCACGUUCAUUGAGAUAACUAGUUCUCCUGACCUCUACAGACUGAGUCCAGGAAAGCCCUUUGGGAAUGCUCAUCUUCGUGCAUACAAGUG